GAUGAACGCUGACAGAAUGCUUAACACAUGCAAGUCAACUUGAACUUCGGUUUGGGUGGCGGACGGGUGAGUAACGCGUAAAGAACUUGCCUCACAGAUAGGGACAACAUUUGGAAACGAAUGCUAAUACCUGAUAUUAUGAUUAUAUGGCAUCGUAUAAUUAUGAAAGCUAUAUGCGCUGUGAGAGGGCUUUGCGUCCCAUUAGCUAGUUGGAGAGGUAACGGCUCACCAAGGCGAUGAUGGGUAGCCGGCCUGAGAGGGUGAUCGGCCACAAGGGGACUGAGACACGGCCCUUACUCCUACGGGAGGCAGCAGUGGGGAAUAUUGGACAAUGGACCAAGAGUCUGAUCCAGCAAUUCUGUGUGCACGAUGAAGUUUUUCGGAAUGUAAAGUGCUUCCAGUUGGGAAGAAAAAAAUGACGGUACCAACAGAAGAAGUGACGGCUAAAUACGUG
This 454-nucleotide ribosomal RNA is filed under the name uncultured bacterium. RNAcentral's name for it is "partial 16S ribosomal RNA". It matches the Rfam family "Bacterial small subunit ribosomal RNA", at positions 28 to 507 of the family's 1533-position model. The record is from RNAcentral.